This 465-nucleotide ribosomal RNA is filed under the name uncultured bacterium. RNAcentral describes it as "partial 16S ribosomal RNA". It matches the Rfam family "Bacterial small subunit ribosomal RNA", at positions 338 to 795 of the family's 1533-position model. The record is from RNAcentral.
CCUACGGGAGGCAGCAGUGGGGAAUAUUCCGCAAUGGGCGAAAGCCUGACGCAGCGACGCCGCGUGAGCGAUGAAGGUCUUCGGAUCGUAAAGCUCUGUCAGCAGGGAAGAACGGUCGCUGUGCUAAUCAGCAGUAAAUUGACGGUACCUGCAAAGAAAGCACCGGCUAACUCCGUGCCAGCAGCCGCGGUAAUACGGAGGGUGCAAGCGUUAAUCGGAAUUACUGGGCGUAAAGCGCUCGUAGGCGGUAUGUCAAGUCAGGGGUGAAAUCCCCGCGCUCAACGUGGGAACUGCCUUUGAAACUAGCAAACUGGAGUGUGUGAGAGGAUAGUGGAAUUCCAGGUGUAGGAGUGAAAUGCGUAGAUAUCUGGAGGAACAUCAGUGGCGAAGGCGACUAUCUGGCACAUAACUGACGCUGAGGAGCGAAAGCGUGGGUAGCAAACAGGAUUAGAUACCCGUGUAGUC